AAAUUAUUACUUAAAUGGAUUAA
This 23-nucleotide small nuclear RNA is filed under the name Arabidopsis thaliana (thale cress). RNAcentral's name for it is "snRNA_10949". Lineage: Eukaryota; Viridiplantae; Streptophyta; Magnoliopsida; Brassicales; Brassicaceae. The record is from RNAcentral.